This 484-nucleotide ribosomal RNA is filed under the name uncultured bacterium. RNAcentral's name for it is "partial 16S ribosomal RNA". It matches the Rfam family "Bacterial small subunit ribosomal RNA", at positions 28 to 523 of the family's 1533-position model. The record is from RNAcentral.
GACGAACGCUGGCGGCGUGCUUAACACAUGCAAGUCGAACGAUGAAGCCGGAGCUUGCUCUGGUGAAUUAGUGGCGAACGGGUGAGUAACACGUGAGUAACCUGCCCUUGACUCUGGGAUAACUGCGGGAAACUGUAGCUAAUACCGGAUACGACCCUCGGAGGCAUCUCCUGGGGGUGGAAAGAAUUUCGGUCAAGGAUGGACUCGCGGCCUAACAGCUAGUUGGUGAGGGAAAGGCUCACCAAGGCGACGACGGGUAGCCGGCCUGAGAGGGUGACCGGCCACACUGGGACUGAGACACGGCCCGGACUCCUACGGGAGGCAGCAGUGGGGAAUAUUGCACAAUGGGCGCAAGCCUGAUGCAGCAACGCCGCGUGAGGGAUGACGGCCUUCGGGUUGUAAACCUCUUUUAGCAGGGAAGAAGCGAAAGUGACGGUACCUGCAGAAAAAGCACCGGCUAACUACGUGCCAGCAGCCGCCGUAA